GAUGAACGCUGGCGGCGUGCCUAAUACAUGCAAGUCGAGCGAACAGACGAGGAGCUUGCUCCUCUGACGUUAGCGGCGGACGGGUGAGUAACACGUGGAUAACCUACCUAUAAGACUGGGAUAACUUCGGGAAACCGGAGCUAAUACCAGAUAAUAUAUUGAACCGCAUGGUUCAAUAGUGAAAGACGGUUUUGCUGUCACUUAUAGAUGGAUCCGCGCCGCAUUAGCUAGUUGGUAAGGUAACGGCUUACCAAGGCGACGAUGCGUAGCCGACCUGAGAGGGUGAUCGGCCACACUGGAACUGAGACACGGUCCAGACUCCUACGGGAGGCAGCAGUAGGGAAUCUUCCGCAAUGGGCGAAAGCCUGACGGAGCAACGCCGCGUGAGUGAUGAAGGUCUUCGGAUCGUAAAACUCUGUUAUUAGGGAAGAACAAAUGUGUAAGUAACUAUGCACGUCUUGACGGUACCUAAUCAGAAAGCCACGGCUAACUACGUG
Molecule: ribosomal RNA, 497 nt
Filed under: uncultured bacterium
Lineage: Bacteria
Description: partial 16S ribosomal RNA
Rfam family: Bacterial small subunit ribosomal RNA
Source: RNAcentral